AUACCGGAUAAUAUUUUGAACCGCAUGGUUCAAAAGUGAAAGACGGUCUUGCUGUCACUUAUAGAUGGAUCCGCGCUGCAUUAGCUAGUUGGUAAGGUAACGGCUUACCAAGGCAACGAUGCAUAGCCGACCUGAGAGGGUGAUCGGCCACACUGGAACUGAGACACGGUCCAGACUCCUACGGGAGGCAGCAGUAGGGAAUCUUCCGCAAUGGGCGAAAGCCUGACGGAGCAACGCCGCGUGAGUGAUGAAGGUCUUCGGAUCGUAAAACUCUGUUAUUAGGGAA
RNAcentral lists this ribosomal RNA (286 nucleotides) under Staphylococcus aureus. Its description in RNAcentral is "partial 16S ribosomal RNA". It matches the Rfam family "Bacterial small subunit ribosomal RNA", at positions 166 to 446 of the family's 1533-position model. The record is from RNAcentral. Lineage: Bacteria; Bacillati; Bacillota; Bacilli; Caryophanales; Staphylococcaceae.